GAGUGGCGGACGGGUGAGGAAUACAUCGGAAUCUACCUUUUCGUGGGGGAUAACGUAGGGAAACUUACGCUAAUACCGCAUACGACCUUCGGGUGAAAGCAGGGGACCUUCGGGCCUUGCGCGGAUAGAUGAGCCGAUGUCGGAUUAGCUAGUUGGCGGGGUAAAGGCCCACCAAGGCGACGAUCCGUAGCUGGUCUGAGAGGAUGAUCAGCCACACUGGAACUGAGACACGGUCCAGACUCCUACGGGAGGCAGCAGUGGGGAAUAUUGGACAAUGGGCGCAAGCCUGAUCCAGCCAUACCGCGUGGGUGAAGAAGGCCUUCGGGUUGUAAAGCCCUUUUGUUGGGAAAGAAAAGCAGUCGGCUAAUACCCGGUUGUUCUGACGGUACCCAAAGAAUAAGCACCGGCUAACUUCGUGCCAGCAGCCGCGGUAAUACGAAGGGUGCAAGCGUUACUCGGAAUUACUGGGCGUAAAGCGUGCGUAGGUGGUUGUUUAAGUCUGUUGUGAAAGCCCUGGGCUCAACCUGGGAAUUGCAGUGGAUACUGGGCGACUAGAGUGUG
RNAcentral lists this ribosomal RNA (561 nucleotides) under Stenotrophomonas rhizophila. RNAcentral describes it as "bacterial SSU rRNA". It matches the Rfam family "Bacterial small subunit ribosomal RNA", at positions 93 to 650 of the family's 1533-position model. Lineage: Bacteria; Pseudomonadati; Pseudomonadota; Gammaproteobacteria; Lysobacterales; Lysobacteraceae. The record is from RNAcentral.